This is a long non-coding RNA of Triticum aestivum (bread wheat), 1449 nucleotides long. RefSeq lists it as uncharacterized. Lineage: Eukaryota; Viridiplantae; Streptophyta; Magnoliopsida; Poales; Poaceae. The record is from RefSeq and is a predicted model, not a curated record. The transcript is spliced from 2 exons.
UUUUCUACUUUAUCCUCCCAACACAGCCAACGCCCCCAGCCUACCACGCCGCUCCUCGGUGCUUCUAGAUGGAGGAGCACCACAGGUUGCUCCACCUUUGUCGCCUCAAGUCCCAACCCACCUCCGUCGCCUCACCUAAUCCCCAGCAAAGCUCCACCCUCGGCGAGCCAAAUCAAGGAUGACCAGGGCAAGUUCCUGCCUCCACCACAUCAGAGGCUUCACCGCGGGUCCGUGGCCACCUUGGCCAAGCCCGGUGCUGCACGCCGCUGUUGCCUUUUUGCUGAUGGGCCGCUGUUGCCUCUCCCUGUUUCCCCUGCAAAGCUUCCCCUAUGUGUCCUCACCCUCUGCCUCAUCUCAGUCUCCCGGGGCACGCUCUCCCUGUCCUUCUUCCCUCGUUCUUCCACCUGAGAAGGCGCCUCACCAGCGCCCGGCCUCGCCGUCGCGCCGCCCCACGCCUGCGUACGCUCCGCCCCGCUGCUGCGCCGCUCGCCGGAGCCGAGCACCGCCGCCGCCCUACCCCGCUUCCCCCUGCUCCCCUUUCCUUUUGUCUCUCUCUAACCUCUCUCUCUCUCCCAUGGACGCCUGGAGCUCCCUCGCCAGCCGAUGCGCCGCCUUGCCCCGCGGCCUACAGAUGCGGCCGGCCACCCCGCCGGAGCCGAGCGCCGCCGCCGCCCCAGGUGAGCAGCGUCGCCGCCCUGCCCCGUUUCCACCCCACGGCCUACAGAUCCGGCCGGCCUCCAUUGCCCUUGUCGUUCCCGUGCCCGGAUCUGGCCGGAGUUCACCGUCACCGUGCCCGCCCGUGUCGGCAACGUGGCGGCCUCCUCAGCCUCGAGGGCAAGCUCCCAGUUGACCGCGUCCGCCGCCGCGACGCCUCGGUCCACCGCGGCCUUCAACGCCCGCCGCGACGCCUCUGUACGCCGCGCUCUACAACGCCAGUCGCGACACCUCGCCCCAUUCCUGGGCUCUGGCAGCGCUCACGUCCGCCGCGACGCAUCCCCUGCCUUGCUUGUGCGGUGUCGACGCCGGCGACAAGCGGUUCAGUAGAGGCAGGGUGUUUUUUGCAAAAAAACAAACGUUAUCUACAAUUUAAGUAGGACUGCGCGUUAAUUUCGGGAAAAUAGGGGAACUUUUUUGCAAAAAUGACAGCGACGGAUGACCAGAAGCAUUAGCUGUUUUAUUAGUAGGGAAAGAUUAGGUAGAGAUUAGAUGAACAUACUAUGCUCAUCUACAGCCGGACCGAGCAAAUUUGACCCCUCAAACGCAUGCCGACGCGCCGGAUCAGUGUCCAUACGUGUUUGUUUUCACUUUCUAUCUGUUCAUCCACGCAACCAUGUCUCACUAUUUUCUCCUAUACGCCCGAUCACAUGUAUGUGAUUGGUGGACAAGAAGAGAAAAAAAGGAAAAAUAAUAAUAAUAAAAAGAUGAUCCGUGAUGGAGUUAUGCACAGAA